RNAcentral lists this ribosomal RNA (615 nucleotides) under Clostridium sp. 6D3. RNAcentral's name for it is "bacterial SSU rRNA". It matches the Rfam family "Bacterial small subunit ribosomal RNA", at positions 139 to 769 of the family's 1533-position model. Lineage: Bacteria; Bacillati; Bacillota; Clostridia; Eubacteriales; Clostridiaceae. The record is from RNAcentral.
GGGAAUAGCCUUCCGAAAGGAAGAUUAAUACCGCAUAAGAUUGUAAUAUCGCAUGAUAUAGCAAUUAAAGGAGCAAUCCGCUAUGAGAUGGACCCGCGUCGCAUUAGCUAGUUGGUGAGGUAACGGCUCACCAAGGCGACGAUGCGUAGCCGACCUGAGAGGGUGAUCGGCCACAUUGGGACUGAGACACGGCCCAGACUCCUACGGGAGGCAGCAGUGGGGAAUAUUGCACAAUGGGGGAAACCCUGAUGCAGCAACGCCGCGUGAGUGAUGACGGUCUUCGGAUUGUAAAGCUCUGUCUUUAGGGACGAUAAUGACGGUACCUAAGGAGGAAGCCACGGCUAACUACGUGCCAGCAGCCGCGGUAAUACGUAGGUGGCAAGCGUUGUCCGGAUUUACUGGGCGUAAAGGGAGCGUAGGUGGAUAUUUAAGUGGGAUGUGAAAUACUCGGGCUUAACUUGGGUGCUGCAUUCCAAACUGGAUAUCUAGAGUGCAGGAGAGGAAAGUAGAAUUCCUAGUGUAGCGGUGAAAUGCGUAGAGAUUAGGAAGAAUACCAGUGGCGAAGGCGACUUUCUGGACUGUAACUGACACUGANGCUCCGAAAGCGUGGGGAGC